GAUGAACGCUGGCGGCGUGCCUAAUACAUGCAAGUCGAGCGAACAGACGAGGAGCUUGCUCCUCUGACGUUAGCGGCGGACGGGUGAGUAACACGUGGAUAACCUACCUAUAAGACUGGGAUAACUUCGGGAAACCGGAGCUAAUACCGGAUAAUAUAUUGAACCGCAUGGUUCAAUAGUGAAAGACGGUUUUGCUGUCACUUAUAGAUGGAUCCGCGCCGCAUUAGCUAGUUGGUAAGGUAACGGCUUACCAAGGCGACGAUGCGUAGCCGACCUGAGAGGGGGAUCGGCCACACUGGAACUGAGACACGGUCCAGACUCAUACGGGAGGCAGCAGUAGGGAAUCUUCCGCAAUGGGCGAAAGCCUGACGUAGCAACGCCGCGUGAGUGAUGAAGGUCUUCGGAUCGUAAAACUCUGUUAUUAGGGAAGAACAAAUGUGUAAGUAACUAUGCACGUCUUGACGGUACCUAAUCAGAAAGCCACGGCUAACUACGUG
RNAcentral lists this ribosomal RNA (497 nucleotides) under uncultured bacterium. RNAcentral's name for it is "partial 16S ribosomal RNA". It matches the Rfam family "Bacterial small subunit ribosomal RNA", at positions 28 to 507 of the family's 1533-position model. The record is from RNAcentral.